UCAUGUUUAUUUGUCGUUUAUUAUUUGCUUGUUUUGGUGUGAGUAUAUGCUUGAAACAUUGAGGACAAUGUUUGAUUUAAGUGUGGGGGGGUAACCAUUGUUUUACAUGAAAUUCGUAGAAAAUUAUCACCCAUUACUUCUAGUGUUGUUCCUUGCUGUUUUAAGUAUUUUUAAGCUGUUUUGGAGUGUUUCAGUGUGUUUUGAUAUAAAAAUCCGAAAAUUCAUAAAAAUUUGAAAAAUUGUUUUUGAAAAUCCCAAAAAAAGUUGUUUUUGUGUUCUUAUUUGUGUCUUAGGGUACCUUCCAACACAAUGAUGAGGAUUCAGUUUGUAAUUGCAUGACUGUUAAAGAGAGUUAUAAACAUGGAUGAAAGUUUGAUUUACUCUUUAUUUAUGCGUGAUUGUGGUUAUAACUUAUGAAAUCACAUGUAAUCAUAAAAGAAAAAAAUUAGUUUUUUGUAACAUGCUUGAAGGAAAGAACUCAAACUAACGCUACAAUCUUGUGAGACUUGAGCCUAAAUGUUUAUUUGGAGAGUUAAAAUCUGUGCAUUAUUGUUUUCUAAAGUCGUUGCAUGAUCUCAUUAUUCUUUGCUUGGUUAUUACUUAGAAAGCGUUUCAUCAUUUAGUUCCAAAUGCUAGAACUCAUGCCUAUUUCAUUCAAAGCAUGCUAUUGAUUUGCAUAACACAUAUUCAAGAUGAAGUUGUGUAGUUACCACCACCAAGCCAAAUUGCCAUGUAUCCCAUAUCGUUAUAUGUUUAAGUUAACCUCAUUGAGCCUUGAUAGCCUACAUUCUUUGUUAAACCACAUUAUCCUUACCUAGCCUAGUUUAGGACCAUCCAUAUCCUUGUUCUUGAAGCAUAGUAAAGUAUGAGUCAAAUUGAAUUCCUUUUGAUUAAUGUAUGGCAGAAAACAAGUGUGGGGGAAGUGAUUCUUGUGUGUGUGUAUGCCAAAAUCAUUCAUAAGGCACGAGUAGAAAAGAAAGAUUCGUGAAAAAUAGAAUGAAAAGAAGAAGAGCUGUGAAGAGAAAAGGAGUUGAAAAAUAUGUGAAAAAGAGUUUUAAAGUGUUGCUUGUUGAAGAAAGGGUCCAAAACAUUGAAUUCGCCCCUAAAUAUUGCUUGAAUCUUCCCUU
Molecule: long non-coding RNA, 1127 nt
Filed under: Malus domestica (apple)
Lineage: Eukaryota; Viridiplantae; Streptophyta; Magnoliopsida; Rosales; Rosaceae
Description: long non-coding RNA (MDOM_LNC000908)
Source: RNAcentral